Molecule: long non-coding RNA, 451 nt
Organism: Salvia miltiorrhiza (redroot sage)
Lineage: Eukaryota; Viridiplantae; Streptophyta; Magnoliopsida; Lamiales; Lamiaceae
Exons: 3
Source: RefSeq, a predicted model, not a curated record
AUUCACUAACCAUCUUAGUCAACUCCUUCUCAAUAUCAUUUUUCUAAAUUCACCGCACCACAAAUCUCAAUCAGACUCCUCCUUUCUUACCUCUUUUGUGUACACAGCUUCAUCAACCGCGAUGAAGGUCCUUUUGGGAAGUAAAGACGUGGGGAGAGAAUGAUAUUCCCUGUUAAUAUGAGACGCAACGAGGUUGAGCCGAUGUGGUGAUGGUGCUGCAAUGAGCGGAGUCUCCAGGGUUGUUAAUAAAUGAAGUUAACCUGACUAGAAUAUGUCUUCAUACAUAUGUCUGGCUACUUUCCGCUGCAAGAUGUUGUUGAUGUUAUAGUAUGUUAUGUCAUACUUUGAGUCUUAAGAGAAUGGUUUCAUAUGAUGUACAACUUGAUUAAUGAUAUUAAUUAAGUUUUAUGAUGUCUUUCAUAGACUGUUUAAAAGAGUAUUAAUGAGUAAU